CAGCAGCCGCGGUAAUACAGAGGGUGCGAGCGUUAAUCGGAUUUACUGGGCGUAAAGCGUGCGUAGGCGGCUUUUUAAGUCUGAUGUGAAAUCCCUGAGCUUAACUUAGGAAUUGCAUUCGAUACUGGGAAGCUAGAGUAUGGGAGAGGAUGGUAGAAUUCCAGGUGUAGCGGUGAAAUGCGUAGAGAUCUGGAGGAAUACCGAUGGCGAAGGCAGCCAUCUGGCCUAAUACUGACGCUGAGGUACGAAAGCAUGGGGAGCAAACAGGAUUAGAUACCCCCGUAGUCCCUGUCUCUUAUAC
Molecule: ribosomal RNA, 301 nt
Filed under: uncultured bacterium
Lineage: Bacteria
Description: partial 16S ribosomal RNA
Rfam family: Bacterial small subunit ribosomal RNA
Source: RNAcentral